Molecule: ribosomal RNA, 315 nt
Filed under: uncultured eukaryote
Lineage: Eukaryota
Description: partial 18S ribosomal RNA
Rfam family: Eukaryotic small subunit ribosomal RNA
Source: RNAcentral
CCCUUAGAUGUCCUGGGCCGCACGCGUGCUACACUGACACUUGCAACGAGUACUUUGCUUUACCGAAAGGCAAUGCUAAUCAUCAAUAAGUGUCGUGAUGGGGAUAGAUCUUUGGAAUUAUGGAUCUUGAACGAGGAAUGCCUAGUAAGCGUAGGUCAUUAGCCUACGCUGAUUAAGUCCCUGCCCUUUGUACACACCGCCCGUCGCUCCUACCGAUUUCGAGUGGUCCGGUGAAACUUUUGGACCGUGCGACUUUAUUGUUGUCACGGAAAGUCAGUUAAACCAUACUACUUAGAGGAAGGAGAANUCGUANCA